UGGCCGGUACAAUGCGAAGCGAAGCAGCGAUGUGAAGCAAAUCGCACCAAAGCCGGUCCCAGUUCGGAUAAGAGGCUGAAACUCGCCUCUUUGAAGUCGGAAUCGCUAGUAAUCGCAGAUCAGCAUGUUGCGGUGAAUACGUUUCCUGGUCUUGUACACACCGCCCGUCAAACCAUGAGAGUCGCCAACACCCGAAGUCCGCUUUGCGGCCUAAGGUGGGGGAGAUGAUUGGGGUUAAGUCGUAACAAGGUAGC
Molecule: ribosomal RNA, 254 nt
Filed under: uncultured bacterium
Lineage: Bacteria
Description: partial 16S ribosomal RNA
Rfam family: Bacterial small subunit ribosomal RNA
Source: RNAcentral